CGCCAAUCAGCGGAAGCCGCCGGGGCCGCCUAGAGAAGAGGCUGUGCUUCGGCGCUCCGGCUCCUCAGAGAGCCUCGGCUAGCUGGGAUUCUGUCCCUGACCGUCUUCACAGUCCAGGUGAUCUUGACUACUGCUUUACAGAGAAUUGGAUCUGAGGUGUGGAAACAGGAAGAGAACUAGAACUGGAAGUAAAGCAUUGAAGAUGUGACUGAAUUGCUGCAAUCUCAUGAUCAAAUUUGAAUGGAUGAGGAGUUGCUUUUUAGGGAUGAGCAAAGAAAGUGGUUUCUCGAGAUGGAAUCUACUGGUUGCUCCUUGAGGGCAGGACAGUUCUUAUGGCUUUAUCCGUUGCGUAAGCACAGAGAGGUCUGCGAGGUCAAAACUAUUGUCAUGAUAGCAAGAUGCCUGUCUUUUUCAUUUAUUCUCACGGUGUGCAGAGGCUACAUGAUGUGUGAUGACAUCCUCAUUGAUGUUAAUGAAUGGUGCUAUACUUGAAUUUUCUAAGGUGUCAUUAGCAAUUCUCCUGCCUCAGCCUCCUGCAUAACUGGGACUACAGGGAAGCACCAUUUUCCACAAAACUCUCAAGAAGGACUUGUUGCAACUGGAAAAGCAAUUAAAUGUGAAUCGUGAUCCAGGAGAAAGUAACAACUCACAUAACUCCCAAAUUAAAAGUUUUCCAAAGAUAUAUCAUUUUUUUUCUCUUGGCCUUUUAAGAAACUAGCCAACAAAUACUCUUGACAGGUUUGUGUUUGGUUUUGAAAACACACACCUUAGUGUACUGAAAGAAAAACAAUUUCUUUUAAUUUGGUUUGUUGGUCCCACACCCCAUCUAUCAAUGUAUGUGCUAUUUACAAAUAAGUUCUAUACAGUAUUUUUGCAGUACCUUUGAUAAUUCCUAGACCUCUAUUUUCAUUCUGUGUAUUAAUGUGAAUAACAGAUGGAUAUUUUAAUAUUUAAGGCAGAUGGUAAACUUUCCUAUAGGUCUUGUGAGACUUCGUCUUAUAGGCUGAACACCAUUCACAAAAUGUAAUAAUGCUUCAUUCCUUCAGGUUGAGGUAAAGAACUUGAGCAACUGGAUUAGCAAAGCUGCAAAGAAUGAAAUGUGGCCUAAGAUGUAAUUAUGUUCUCUGCCCUUCCUUUGGGCCAGGGUAGUUUUGCACUUGACACAAUGGAAAAUAGGCCAUAAAGCCUGAAAAUAAAAUGUUCUAAACCCCAA
RNAcentral lists this long non-coding RNA (1213 nucleotides) under Homo sapiens (human). Its description in RNAcentral is "HSALNT0050688". Lineage: Eukaryota; Metazoa; Chordata; Mammalia; Primates; Hominidae. The record is from RNAcentral.